CGCCUACAAUCAGUCGGAGCUCCCUUGUGGAGUGACGGCGUACCUUUUGUAUAAUGGGUCAUCGACUUGGUCUAUCUAGCAAGCUUAAGCCGUUAGGUGUAGGCGCAGCGAAAGCGAGUCUUAAUAGGGCGCAUGAGUUAGAUGGAUCAGACCCGAAACCGAGUGAUCUAGGCAUGACCAGGUUGAAGGUUAGGUAACACUAACUGGAGGACCGAA
RNAcentral lists this ribosomal RNA (216 nucleotides) under Pessonella sp. PRA-29. RNAcentral's name for it is "partial Bacterial large subunit ribosomal RNA". It matches the Rfam family "Bacterial large subunit ribosomal RNA", at positions 561 to 778 of the family's 2925-position model. Lineage: Eukaryota; Discosea; Flabellinia; Vannellidae. The record is from RNAcentral.